This 1749-nucleotide long non-coding RNA is filed under the name Cucumis sativus (cucumber). RNAcentral describes it as "long non-coding RNA (CSAT_LNC003082)". Lineage: Eukaryota; Viridiplantae; Streptophyta; Magnoliopsida; Cucurbitales; Cucurbitaceae. The record is from RNAcentral.
CCGGUUUGCCGCUUUUAUUACCUUUGCCUGAAAAUUAAACAUAAGAAGGGUGAGUAUUUAAAUACUCAGUAAGAGACCCUCUACUGGUCCGUCAGGGGAAAAUAAAUUGUUAACGUUCUAUUGGGACACCCUGUACAGUCGCAGUCUUGUGAUCCCGUAGGAUACACAUCUCAGUCUAACGCCCGAGGGACGUACAUAUCAGUCUAGUGUUCUGCAGAAACACAUAUCAGUCUAAUGCUCCCGAAGGUGCACAAUAAAUUGGUGAUCCCGUGGGACACCUACAAGGUACACAUCCCAAACAAUCUAACAAUUUUCCCUCAUUCCAUUCAAUCAUCUUUCAAUUACUUCAAAACACAAAGUUCUUUCUUUCAACGUCCUAACAGUCAACUUAUUUUACUUCAGUCAUAUGUCUGUCAAUAAUAUGCUAAUACAUCAGUCAAUCAAACUAUACAGUCAACACACCCCUCAGUUCAUCAGCACACAGUCAUACUUUAACGUAACGUACACCCAAUCUAAACGAAAAUCACAAGUUCACAUCUGCAUCUCAUACAAACACAAUCUACAAUCUUCGUCCUGUCCACAUACACACACUUAUAUAUAUAUUCCAUGACAAUCACGAUAUACAUUCGACGUCAAGUCUACUUCAAUUCAUAUGCAUUCAUAUAUAUUUUCAGUCAAUCCACAGUAUACAUUUAACACAUACAAUUCACAGUCAUAAGUGAGUCCAGUAGAAAAUCCUUACCUCAAAGUUAGGGAAGCUCCUUAAUCAACUAACGUCCUCGAAACAAUCCUAAGCAUAACAAUACAAAAUUCAAUUACUUUCACGAUACAUAUGUCACUUACUUUCCUCAACGUAAGUUCCAACUCACCGAUAUAUUGGCGAACUGAACCUUCAACAAUUCACAAACGGGUUGUGAAUGUAAGGGAGCCUAACGUUACUCCCAACACCUCAACGCACGAAUGUCGAACUCGCAGCAAAAAUCCUAAGUGUGGGUCGGUCAGCGGUCGGCCAAAGGGAACGUGGCGGCUGGGCUUCACGGAUGGAGACCGUCGCGAACAGACCGCGAAUCUGAACGGUUACAGCAAAUCUGAACGGUUACAGCAAAUCUGAACGGUUACAGUAAAUCUGAACGGUUACAGCAACUAGUCGGCCGACGUUGAUAGCAGGUGGAGCGGCGGUUGUGAGCGGGGAGCGUGGUCGACGGAGACAGAACCGGCGGAGACGGUUGCAGAACCGUGGCUUCGACGGAGACAGAACCGGCGAUGGAGACGGCAGAUCGCGCGGACGACUGCUGCAAGGUUGCUUCGCGAACCGGAGAUGGAGACGGCAGAUCGGCGCGCGGGACGACUGCUGCAAGGUUGCUUCGCGAACCGGAGAUGGAGACGGCAGAUCGGGCGUUCGGCUUCAGUAGGGGAGACGCGGCGGUGAGGCUGGGUUUGGACGGAGCGGAGAGGAGAAGAGAAGAAGGAGAUGGCCGGCGGGAGAUGGUCGGCGGCUUGCUGCGAACGGAAGGAGAAGAGGAAUGGAGGUCGGCGGUUGCUGCGAACGGAUGGGGGUCGGUCGCGGCGCUGGGCGGAAGAAGAAAAGAGAAAGAGAAACGGAAGAAGAGAAGUCUCGGGGUGGCGGUUGCUGGGCUGCGGCGGCGGUUGCUGGGCUGCGAACGGAGAGAAGGGGAAGGGCGCACGGGGAGGAAGGAGAAGAGAGAAAAGAAAAGAAAAAGAAAAGAAAAAGAAAAAAGAAAAGAAAAG